RNAcentral lists this ribosomal RNA (253 nucleotides) under uncultured bacterium. RNAcentral's name for it is "partial 16S ribosomal RNA". It matches the Rfam family "Bacterial small subunit ribosomal RNA", at positions 524 to 776 of the family's 1533-position model. The record is from RNAcentral.
UACGGAGGGUGCAAGCGUUAUCCGGAUUCACUGGGUUUAAAGGGUGCGUAGGCGGAUUGGUAAGUCCGUGGUGAAAUCCCCGAGCUUAACUUGGGAACUGUCGUGGAUACUAUCAGUCUUGAAUAUCGUGGAGGUAAGCGGAAUAUGUCAUGUAGCGGUGAAAUGCUUAGAUAUGACAUAGAACACCAAUUGCGUAGGCAGCUUACUACUCGAUCAUUGACGCUGAGGCACGAAAGCGUGGGGAGCAAACAGG